CCCUUAGAUGUUCUGGGCCGCACGCGCGCUACACUGACGAAUGCAACGAGCUUAUAACCUUGGCCGAAAGGUCUGGGUAAUCUCCAAAUUUCGUCGUGAUGGGGAUGGAUUAUUGCAAUUAUUAAUCUUCAACGAGGAAUGCCUAGUAAGCGCAAGUCAUCAGCUUGCGUUGAUUACGUCCCUGCCCUUUGUACACACCGCCCGUCGCUCCUACCGAUUGAAUGGUCCGGUGAAGCGUUCGGACCGUGGCCUUUGGACGGUUCGCCGUCUGUUGGCUGCGGGAAGUUCGUUAAACCUUAUCAUUUAGAGGAAGGAGAAGUCGUNACA
RNAcentral lists this ribosomal RNA (327 nucleotides) under uncultured eukaryote. RNAcentral describes it as "partial 18S ribosomal RNA". It matches the Rfam family "Eukaryotic small subunit ribosomal RNA", at positions 1470 to 1796 of the family's 1831-position model. The record is from RNAcentral.